Molecule: ribosomal RNA, 253 nt
Filed under: uncultured bacterium
Lineage: Bacteria
Description: partial 16S ribosomal RNA
Rfam family: Bacterial small subunit ribosomal RNA
Source: RNAcentral
UACGUAGGGGGCAAGCGUUGUCCGGAAUCAUUGGGCGUAAAGCGCGUGUAGGCGGCUCGGUAAGUCCGCUGUGAAAGUCGGGGGCUCAACCCUCGAAAGCCGGUGGAUACUGUCGGACUAGAGUGCGGAAGAGGCGAGUGGAAUUCCUGGUGUAGCGGUGAAAUGCGCAGAUAUCAGGAGGAACACCAAUUGCGAAGGCAGCUCGCUGGGACGUUACUGACGCUGAGACGCGAAAGCGUGGGGAGCAAACAGG